This 669-nucleotide unclassified non-coding RNA is filed under the name Hevea brasiliensis (rubber tree). The record is from RNAcentral. Lineage: Eukaryota; Viridiplantae; Streptophyta; Magnoliopsida; Malpighiales; Euphorbiaceae.
UGAGAGAUGUUUCCAGCGUAGUAGUAAUUUUGGCAUAACUUGCGUAUUCUCACUACCAAAUGAAAAGGGCCUAAAAUAUUCUAGUUUUAUUUCCUCCUCUCUUCCCCACCCACCCCCCUCACCAUUCAGUUUCAAUAUGUACUGCUUUUUCUAAUAUGUAUCACAAUGAUUGUAAAUGUGAAAGCUAUAUGGUACAUCACCAACUCCAGAAAUACCGUGAACUAUCAGACACCUAAUUGUUAAACCUGUAUUGCCCAGCUCUGAAUACUCUUUCAAUUCUUCAAAUCAGCAGCAGUUCGUUCCUAAAGUAAAAUAUGCGCCGCUAGAGCAAACUCCUUGAUUGUCCCUCUACUCUAGUCCAAUGCCUUGAUUGUUUGCCUAAUCCACAUUGCAGUAUUGGGGUCAAAUCUCAGUUCCCACGUAGGCCAGUAAUGUAGAUCUUGCUUCAAAGUCAACACUCGAGGCUUCCCAUUUAGGUGUACAGUCCUUACACGGGCAAACUCCCCAUGCCCUAAUUCCUUUGUCACAUCAAUGAAAGCAUCUAAAUGAGGCGUUGGUCUCCCAUUAAUUUCAACUAUCCAUUGAAGAGCAUAAAGACCAUAUCUGUGCACAGGGCUUCCAUGACACCACCGAGCCACAUACACACCGUGACCCUCUUCAGGAAGAAAU